UACAGAGGUCUCAAGCGUUGUUCGGAUUCAUUGGGCGUAAAGGGUGCGUAGGCGGCGCGGUGAGUCGGGGGUGAAAUCUCGGAGCUUAACUCCGAAACUGCAUUCGAUACUGCCGUGCUUGAGGACUGGAGAGGAGACUGGAAUUUACGGUGUAGCGGUGAAAUGCGUAGAUAUCGUAAGGAAGACCAGUGGCGAAGGCGGGUCUCUGGACAGUUCCUGACGCUGAGGCACGAAGGCCAGGGGAGCAAACGGG
RNAcentral lists this ribosomal RNA (253 nucleotides) under uncultured bacterium. Its description in RNAcentral is "partial 16S ribosomal RNA". It matches the Rfam family "Bacterial small subunit ribosomal RNA", at positions 524 to 776 of the family's 1533-position model. The record is from RNAcentral.